GCUCACCCCUGGAACAUAGAUAAAUUUCCCUAGGCAGCCUCAGCAGGACUAGUCCUUACUAAAGACACAGCUGUGACUGCGUCUAAGAUAGGUUUCAAAUGCCUCUCAGGAUCUGAAGGGAGAAGUCAGCCUUGGAAGACGAGUCGUAAGAGGAAUUUCCUAAGAGGUCCCUUCCGAAUCAGCACAAUGAAGCUGUUUUACCUUCUCAUCAUCGCUGUCUUCUUCAUCUCUCAAGUGAUACGAGGUUAUGAACAUGGUAAAAUGGCUGGCUUAUGUGACUUAAGUACAGGUGUAUGCCUGAGGAGGAAAAAAAAUUGUAUUAUUCGCAUGCCAGGAAUAUGCCCUGGUAGGAGCUUCUGUUGUGUAAGAACAAACUGAAGAAUCCAUGUUUGGUGGCAUUGCCCUGAAUUAAGUCAACUGAAGAAUUCACUUUCCAUGGAUCAUCCCUGAAUUAAUGGAAGAAUUCAUGUUUAAUGGAACCACAUUGAAUUAAAUUGGAAAGUUGAUUUCACUA
This is a long non-coding RNA of Sus scrofa (pig), 514 nucleotides long. RefSeq lists it as uncharacterized. The record is from RefSeq and is a predicted model, not a curated record. NCBI's taxonomy places the organism in Eukaryota, Metazoa, Chordata, Mammalia, Artiodactyla, Suidae.